Molecule: RNA transcript, 6243 nt
Organism: Oncorhynchus kisutch (coho salmon)
Lineage: Eukaryota; Metazoa; Chordata; Actinopteri; Salmoniformes; Salmonidae
Gene name: contactin-1a
Exons: 25
Source: RefSeq, a predicted model, not a curated record
AUCCAAUCGAAGAGGACGCGGCAGAGACUCUGCUGCCUGUCAGUUUCUUCCCGGAUCUGAGCUCCUGAGCGCCCGGAGAUGCAGUGCUGUUGAUCCAGGUGUGAGUCUUGAAGGUUAAUCGGACGGACGGAUCGUCUGCUAUUGCAGGAAAGGCAUCCUGUCCUGCUCAUGUUCCAUCAUUGGCUUGGUUCUAAUCAUCACCUCCAGGGGGUUCUACACAGACCAACAUGCUGCACUUCACUGUGCUCCUCCUCUGCCUCCUGUCCCUGACUCUCACUUCCACUGAUGCAUCAGUGUUCAGAGGGGAACCUGGCUUCUACUCAGACGAUGCUACAGGUUACGGGCCGGUGUUUGAGGAUCAGCCGGUCGACACCAUCUACCCCGAGGAGUCACCUGAGGCCAAAAUCACCAUGAGCUGUCGAGCACGAGCCAACCCACCUGCCACAUACACGUGGAGAUUAAACAGCAGGAAUAUAGACCAGGAUGAAGACAACCACUACACUUUGGUGGGAGGCAACCUGGUCAUCUCUAACCCCAUCAAGAACAAACACGUUGGGAAGUACACCUGUAAGGCCACCAACGACUACGGCACUGUGGUCAGCAGAGAAGCCGCUGUCCAGUUUGGAUACCUGGACUUCUUCUCCUCUGAGGAGAGAGAGGCGGUGUAUGUGAAGGAGGGCCAGGGGGCAGUGCUGCUCUGCGCUCCUCCCCCACACUACCCAGACGAGCUGUCAUUCCGCUGGAUUCUGAAUGAGUUCCCCGUCUUCAUCCCUCUGGAUAAACGUCGCUUCAUCUCUCAGACUACAGGGAACCUCUUCAUCUCUAAGGUGGACUCGUCUGACAGCGGAAACUACUCCUGCUUCGUCUCCAGUGCCUCCAUCGCCAAGAGCGUCUUCAGCAAGUUCAUUCCCCUCGUCCCCCUGGCUGAACGCCCAAUAAGGAAGUACCCUGCUGAUAUCAAAGUCAAGUUCCCAGACACCUUUGCACUGGUGGGCCAGAACAUCACACUGGAAUGCUUCGCCCUGGGAAACCCCAUCCCACAGAUCCGCUGGAGGAAGAUGGACGGAGAGCUGCCGGCCAAUCACGAAGUCAGCAUGGCAGGGGCCCACCUCCAACUGUACCACGUGCAGUAUGAGGACGAGGGGACGUACGAGUGUGAGGCCCUCAACUCCAAAGGGAAGGACUGGCACCGGGCUCGGGUCUCUGUAGAAGCCUUCCCAGAGUGGACAGAGUCCAUCAGCAGUACAGAGCGGGACAUCAGCAGUGACUACACCAUGUCCUGUGAGGCCAGCGGCAAGCCCAAGCCCCACGUCCACUGGCUCAAGAACGGCUACCCGUACGAUAAGCAUGAUCUGAAGUUCAGAGGACUGACGUUUGAGGACUCUGGGAUGUACCAGUGUAGAGCGGAGAAUCGGCAUGGAGUCAUCUAUGCUGACGCAGAGCUGCGUGUGAUUGCAUGCGCCCCUACGUUUGAGCAUAACCCAGUAAAGAGGAGGAUCCUGGGGGCUAAGAAUGGCCGUGUGGUCCUAGAGUGUAGACCUAAAGCUGCUCCCAAAGCCUCCUUGUCCUGGAGCAAGGGCUCUGAACUCCUCUUCAACUCCAGCAGGAUGUUAAUCUGGGAGGAUGGUAGUCUAGAGAUCCUGAAUGUGACCAGGGCAGACGAGGGGCGCUACACCUGCUUCGCUGAGAACGACCGGGGCAAGGCCAACAGCACAGGCUUCCUCUCUAUCACAGAGGCCACUAAGAUCACCUUGGCUCCGUCCAACGCGGACGUGACGGCGGGCGAGAGCGCCAGCAUGCAGUGUGCCGCAUCACAUGACUCAACGCUGGACAUCACGUUCGUCUGGACCAUGGACGGCCGCUCCAUCGACUUCGACCGGGACGGGGCCCACUAUGAACGCAACCCGAAUGGUGGGUCCAGUGGAGAGCUGAUCAUCAAGAACACCCAGCUGAAUCACUCUGGACGUUACACCUGCACCGCCCAGACCCCCGUGGACAACGUCUCCGCAUCCGCUGACCUGGUCGUCAGAGGUCCCCCUGGGCCUCCAGGUGGGGUACGUGUGGAGGAGAUCAGGAACAAGAGUGUCCGUCUGAUCUGGAGCAGUGGAGCAGACAACCACAGCCCCAUCUCUAAAUACACCGUCCAAUGCCGGGACUGGUUCUCUCAGGAAGACUGGAGAGAUGCCACCACAUCUCCUCCGGAUGUGGAAGGCAAUGCAGAGACAGCCACGGUGGUGGACCUGUUUCCCUGGACAGAGUAUGAGUUUAGGGUGAUAGCCACCAACACCCUGGGGACAGGAGACCCCAGCAGCCCCUCUCCCAAAGUCACCACGUUGGAGGCUGUUCCCGUGGUGGCGCCCUCAGACAUUGGCGGUGGUGGCGGGACCAGCAAGGAGCUGACCAUCACUUGGACGCCGGUGCAGCCGCAGUACUACUACGGCCGCAACUUUGGCUACAUCAUCGCCUUCAAGCCCCACGAUGUCUACGAAUGGAUGAAGGUGACUGUGGCAGACCCCGAGGCUAAACACUAUGUCCACAAAGACUCAUCCAUCCCCGCCUCCACAGAGUUCCAGGUCAAAGUCAAGGCUUUCAACAUUAAAGGAGAAGGACCCUAUAGUCUCACGGCUGUUAUCUACUCUGCACAAGACGUGCCAUCCGAAGCCCCUGCCAGUGUGGAGGCCAGGGCGCUGUCUGCCACUGAGGCCAUUGUGUGGUGGCUCCCUGUCAUCCAGCACACUGUUGAAGGAUACCAGGUGCGGGUACUGGAUGAAAGUGGAGGACAGAGAGGCAUCCAGUCAGAGAGUGGUGGUGUCCAGCAGAGAGAACCAGACAAGGUUGGAGAACAUGAGGCCAAACUCCCCCUACCUCAUAGAGGUCAGGGCCUACAAUGCAGCCGGAUACGGACCCCCCAGCCAUCACUUCCAGAUCUACACCAAAAAAGCCCCCCCAAGUCGGCCUCCUAAAAUAAUCAGUAAAAAGCUGAAAGGAACGUCAGUAAACAUCGCCUGGGAACAUGUCGAACCCUUGGCCAACGAGUCAACAAUAGAUGGAUACAAGGUCUUGUACAGGAAGGCUGGCCUCUCCACAGGUCUACUGUAUACCACAAGGAAGCGAUCCAUAGACCUGCCCAUGCCCAGGGACGGGGACUGCGUAGUGGAGGUCAGGGCCCAUAGCGAGGGAGGAGAUGGGGCUGUGGCCCAAGUACGCAUCUCAGGUGGAGCCGUCAUGGUCACCCAGUCCCUCAGCCUGGCCUCUCUGCUCCUGGUGGCCAUGUUGUGCCUGCUGGCCCUCUGAAUGUACUGCGUCUUUCUCUGGCUGCACUGCCCAGUCCAGUGAAGGAGACUCUGUGAGGUUGACGCCUAUUAUGACUUUGGUUCCCACAAUCUUUGGUUUCACCCUGAAGGCCAAAGGAUCAUUUCCCCAACUCGAGGAAUAGGGCUUUGUUUGUGGAGAGAAAAAAAACACAAUAAGAAAUGUGUAUAAAGGACGAAGAAUGACAUCUGGAAUAUCUCUUAAAUCAUACCUACAAUGUCUUUGAAGGAGGAGCGUCAAAAGGAAGUCUUUCAACUUUUUCAAUAUGCCUUAUAUGUAAACCGUUACACUUAUCUUUCACAAUGCCAUGACUUGCCUCUAACUGGGUGAGGUGUGAGUGCUGAAGUACUGCACAACGUCUGUGAGUAACUGUCAAAUAUAUUGUGAUAAGGGCCUUUCUUGUUCAUUCAUAAAGGUGCAGUAGCUUGGAAGUGUGUGUUUCAUUUGACGUGGGACAUUUAUGGAUCAUCGAUACAACGUUUGCGUUCCACAUAUAAAGCAUAAGCUAAGCAGGUGAUAUAGUUGUGAAGGAUAAGUCUACAAGUUUACUAAAUUGUCUUUAUAUUUCAAUUACAUUUCGGUGGCUUUUUCUUAGUACUUUUGAAUACAUAUUUUUUUUCAAGGUGAAACAUACCCUCCCCUUCCAGAGUCAAAUCAAAUCUCUACUCAAGGUCCUUGGCAUAUAUCAGAGUUUUAUUAUCAAACAUCAUCAGACAACAGAGGAAUUUAUGUCAUGCUAAUAUAAUAUAUGCAAUAAUGUUUAUGGUUUUGCCAUCUCACAAGUACAUAUAGCCUACUAUUAACGAUGUAACAUCGUUGUUCCCAAAAACAUUGAUUUUAUCCCCCCCCAAAAAAACAUGCUUAUUUCCAACUCAUAACAUUCUCUAAAUUAAUGGGAGACCAGUUUGCAAGUGUUUGCAUGUAUCUGAAAGAGUUUACUGACAAAACAAGAUAAACUUCUUAGCCGGAGUGAUGCCUGCAUUUUUAGCACAUGUACAUGUGUGUUUGUAAAGUUGAAUGUAUUGAAUAACUGUGGAAAUGAGCUUUAAAACAUAUCAGACCUGCAGUUUCUAACAUGAUAUAAACAAUGUGUAACAGUGGUGCAUUUGGUUUGGUUGUCAGGACAACUGUCCUGUGACCGUCGUGUGUACAAUUUUGUUAAAGUGUCCAAUUGGAGGAACCAUGAUUAAACUGAGUUUGGAAUCAUAAAUAGAAUUCUAGAAUGGGUAUUUGCCAUUCUUUUUGUCCUGUUCUUAGGAUUCUAUUUCUAUGGUUGGAAUAUCCCAUGAAAGAGUACAUGGAGCACAAAAAGUAGUUUGUUUUGACUGUUGUUAAGACUUCAGUGGUAGACUAUAAAUGCUGGUGCUUUGUAAAGCUGCCAUCUUGUUCAUGUCUUAAAUGUUUUCUAUGUUUUCAUAUCUUUAUUAAUCAACGUCUCAGUGUGAGUCGCAGUGUUAACAGUUCUGCAGUAAUACAUUAUAACGUCUGUCUGAAUCUUCAAUCGUUCUUUCUAUUUUAUUACAUAUAACACAACCUGCCUAGCGCCUAAAACAGUGAUGCUAUUAUCGUGUAUCAUUGUGUAUAAACUGGUGCAAAGCACAAGAGAAACAAAAUAAACUAUCGAAAUCAAUAUCUGAGAAUAACCAUCCGAAGCUCAUACAUUUGUCCUACUAUUUUUGCAACAUUGUUUUGUAUUUUUUUAUCAAUAACAUGAGUGUGAUCAGAGUUAUACUGUAUACUGGAUGCAUUAUCAAUUGGUGUUGUUGUUUUUGUUUUUAUGUUUGUGAUUAAUAUAUUUAAUCCUGAUGACCCACCGCUGGUUCAACAGUAGAUGUUUAUUACGAUCAUGUACCACUGAAAAUUCUGUGUUUUUGAUUUGCUCUGCGAAUCCAUGUUCAGUGUGACUGAGUAAUGCUAGCCAUUCUUCUACCAGCUCUGGUCCACAGAGUUACGUGUGGCUUGCUAACGCAAGGCUCAGGUAGCUCCCUGGACCAGAAGCUAUGCUUCUUCUAUAUACAUUGUGACUAUAUCAACAAAACAUCCACCACAAAGUGCUUUUUCUCAGUUUCCCCUCAUGCAACAAAUCAUCGAAAGAAUUGCCAAAUGCAUGAAUGCCUUGAACUUAUUUGUUAUUUCGAAGGAAAUGGUUGCUAAGAAAACGAUUGCCAUGGAAACGGUUGCUAUUCCUACAUCCUCUAACAUGCAUGACAUUGGAAACGAAUGGUAUAGGCCUGUAUGGUAAAAAAACAAACAACUCCAUCCAUACAUUGCAAUGAGUCAACGUACAGUCAUACAUUCAGGCUUCCUAUCAGCUUCAUAUGAACUCCACUGCCUUUGUGGUAAACAAUAAUAAACAUUCAUUCAUUCAGAGUGAAAUCCUUUUAUGUCAGAGACUGUAUAAUAAUGUUUGCAUACUGUACUUUCUCUAGAUAAGCCUAACAUGUUCAUUAGUUGCCUCAAGCCAGUCAUCUCAAGGGGACGUCAAUGUAGGGCAGUCUAUUGUAGUUGUCAAAUUAUGAAAUCUUUCAAUAAAUUACCUGAUUUUUCCAGAAAUAAUCAAACUAGAAUUUCUGGGAAAACUGGGAAUUUGGGGGAAGGUUUCUGUAAUUUUUCCAUCGUAAAGGGGGGGUUAAGGUUUUAAGAGAGAAAAACCUUAACUGGCUAAAGGAAUCUCACUCAUUCAGUAGGUUCAGUACUGGUCAGUCCUGCAGUCUCAUUCCUUACUGUAAGAUUGGUUGGGGUUUGAUGACAUUACCGCUGUGGUUGAUGAUGCAGCAGUGUUUGGCUGUAUAAUGUUCAGUGCUUUGCUCAUACUGUAAUGAAUAGGAAUCACACAUGUUGAGAGGGAGGGGUGAAACUGGACUCUCUCAUUGUCUGGACUUAAAAAGAACAAUAAAAUAAUAGUUACUGUAACUAUUCAUUUAAGGUGAA